This 497-nucleotide ribosomal RNA is filed under the name uncultured bacterium. RNAcentral's name for it is "partial 16S ribosomal RNA". It matches the Rfam family "Bacterial small subunit ribosomal RNA", at positions 28 to 507 of the family's 1533-position model. The record is from RNAcentral.
GAUGAACGCUGGCGGCGUGCCUAAUACAUGCAAGUCGAGCGAACGGACGAGAAGCUUGCUUCUCUGAUGUUAGCGGCGGACGGGUGAGUAACACGUGGAUAACCUACCUAUAAGACUGGGAUAACUUCGGGAAACCGUAGCUAAUACCGGAUAAUAUUUUGAACCGCAUGGUUCAAAAGUGAAAGACGGUCUUGCUGUCACUUAUAGAUGGAUCCGCGCUGCAUUAGCUAGUUGGUAAGGUAACGGCUUACCAAGGCAACGAUGCAUAGCCGACCUGAGAGGGUGAUCGGCCACACUGGAAUGGAGACACGGUCCAGACUCCUACGGGAGGCAUCAGUAGGGAAUCUUCCGCAAUGGGCGAAAGCCUGACGGAGCAACGCCGCGUGAGUGAUGAUGGUCUUCGGAUCGUAAAACUCUGUUAUUAGGGAAAAACAUAUGUGUAAGUAACUGUGCACAUCUUGACGGUACCUAAUCAGAAAGCCACGGCUAACUACGUG